AGCGGCGGACGGGUGAGUAAUGUAUGGGGAUCUGCCCGAUAGAGGGGGAUAACUACUGGAAACGGUGGCUAAUACCGCAUAAUGUCUACGGACCAAAGCAGGGGCUCUUCGGACCUUGCACUAUCGGAUGAACCCAUAUGGGAUUAGCUAGUAGGUGGGGUAAAGGCUCACCUAGGCGACGAUCUCUAGCUGGUCUGAGAGGAUGAUCAGCCACACUGGGACUGAGACACGGCCCAGACUCCUACGGGAGGCAGCAGUGGGGAAUAUUGCACAAUGGGCGCAAGCCUGAUGCAGCCAUGCCGCGUGUAUGAAGAAGGC
This 318-nucleotide ribosomal RNA is filed under the name Proteus mirabilis. RNAcentral's name for it is "bacterial SSU rRNA". It matches the Rfam family "Bacterial small subunit ribosomal RNA", at positions 94 to 415 of the family's 1533-position model. The record is from RNAcentral. Lineage: Bacteria; Pseudomonadati; Pseudomonadota; Gammaproteobacteria; Enterobacterales; Morganellaceae.